Molecule: long non-coding RNA, 367 nt
Filed under: Ananas comosus (pineapple)
Lineage: Eukaryota; Viridiplantae; Streptophyta; Magnoliopsida; Poales; Bromeliaceae
Description: long non-coding RNA (ACOM_LNC018449)
Source: RNAcentral
AUUUAUUUUAUUUUAAAUGAAUAAUUUAUUUUAUUUUCGAUUUUCGAUAUAUUUUUUAUCCACUAAAUAUUACAAGCUUAAAAAAAUUAAAGAGAUAUAUAUCAAAUAAGACGCACAUACAUUCAAACAGAGUCUUUGUGUCUUUCAUAAAAAUUCUUUUAUUAAUAGUAAAUCAAUUUAUAUCAAUUUAUAUCCUAACACAUUAACAACUUACAAAAAUUUUCCAACGUUUGGGGGACCAAGGCAAUACUCUUGUGCAAAAAAGAGUUUCUUGUUUAAUAGCACAGUAGAAGCAAAUUAGGUUUAUUAUUAUUAUUAUUAUUAUUUUCUCUUUUUUGAAUCAUCUUAAAUCAAAAUCAACAUCCUU